RNAcentral lists this transfer RNA (69 nucleotides) under Ictidomys tridecemlineatus (thirteen-lined ground squirrel). RNAcentral describes it as "Spermophilus tridecemlineatus (thirteen-lined ground squirrel) tRNA". It matches the Rfam family "tRNA". From Rfam's summary of the family: Transfer RNA (tRNA) molecules are approximately 80 nucleotides in length. Lineage: Eukaryota; Metazoa; Chordata; Mammalia; Rodentia; Sciuridae. The record is from Rfam by way of RNAcentral.
GGGGUUGUAGCUCAACAGUAGAGCGCUUGCCUAGCAUGUACAAGGCGCUGGGUUCGAUCCUCAGCCCCA